CCCUCAACAACUGCAGCUGCUGAACCGACUUAUGUCGUCCGAUGUGUCUUAAGUGAUACCCCAUUUUCAGCUGAUCUCAACGACCCUUCCAGCAGCGCUUCCAUGGACGUUCGAGGACGUCUUAUACCCACAUUGCUUUUCAUCUAUCGUGGACGAUUUGGUGUCCUCAUUGUUCGCGUCUUUAUUGUUCAAUUCCGUCUACUUCCAGCACGAACGAACAGAACUGAAGUAGAUGUGGGGGUUGUAUUCCAACGAAACACAACAACUCUCCCAUCAAAUGCAGUUGUUGGUCAAACCUUGGUAGACGCUGUUAGUAACACCACCAAUAACUUCAACAUUACAAUAGAUGGUACAGCAGUAUCGAUACAAGAUUCACCCGUAACUGAUAAUACCACGACCACUGCACCUACAAUUGCCAAUGCAACAACUGCCGCACCUGUGACCACUGCACCUACAACUGCUGCCACAACAAAACACAAAAUCAGCUUAAGCACUACAUUCCUCCUGG
This is a long non-coding RNA of Acanthochromis polyacanthus (spiny chromis), 508 nucleotides long. RefSeq lists it as uncharacterized. The transcript is spliced from 4 exons. NCBI's taxonomy places the organism in Eukaryota, Metazoa, Chordata, Actinopteri, Pomacentridae. The record is from RefSeq and is a predicted model, not a curated record.